Molecule: ribosomal RNA, 496 nt
Filed under: uncultured bacterium
Lineage: Bacteria
Description: partial 16S ribosomal RNA
Rfam family: Bacterial small subunit ribosomal RNA
Source: RNAcentral
GAUGAACGCUGGCGGCGUGCCUAAUACAUGCAAGUCGAGCGAACGGACGAGAAGCUUGCUUCUCUGAUGUUAGCGGCGGACGGGUGAGUAACACGUGGAUAACCUACCUAUAAGACUGGGAUAACUUCGGGAAACCGGAGCUAAUACCGGAUAAUAUUUUGAACCGCAUGGUUCAAAAGUGAAAGACGGUCUUGCUGUCACUUAUAGAUGGAUCCGCGCUGCAUUAGCUAGUUGGUAAGGUAACGGCUUACCAAGGCAACGAUGCAUAGCCGACCUGAGAGGGUGAUCGGCCACACUGGAACUGAGACACGGUCAAGACUCCUACGGGAGGCAGCAGUAGGGAAUCUUCCGAAAUGGGCGAAAGCCUGACGGAGCAACGCCGCGUGAGUGAUGAAGGUCUUCGGAUCGUAAAACUCUGUUAUUAGGGAAGAACAUAUGGGUAAGUAACUGGGAAAAUCUUGACGGUACCUAAUAAGAAAGCAACGGCUAACUACGU